This 632-nucleotide ribosomal RNA is filed under the name Escherichia coli. Its description in RNAcentral is "partial 23S ribosomal RNA". It matches the Rfam family "Bacterial large subunit ribosomal RNA", at positions 2263 to 2889 of the family's 2925-position model. Lineage: Bacteria; Pseudomonadati; Pseudomonadota; Gammaproteobacteria; Enterobacterales; Enterobacteriaceae. The record is from RNAcentral.
GGGUAGUUUGACUGGGGCGGUCUCCUCCUAAAGAGUAACGGAGGAGCACGAAGGUUGGCUAAUCCUGGUCGGACAUCAGGAGGUUAGUGCAAUGGCAUAAGCCAGCUUGACUGCGAGCGUGACGGCGCGAGCAGGUGCGAAAGCAGGUCAUAGUGAUCCGGUGGUUCUGAAUGGAAGGGCCAUCGCUCAACGGAUAAAAGGUACUCCGGGGAUAACAGGCUGAUACCGCCCAAGAGUUCAUAUCGACGGCGGUGUUUGGCACCUCGAUGUCGGCUCAUCACAUCCUGGGGCUGAAGUAGGUCCCAAGGGUAUGGCUGUUCGCCAUUUAAAGUGGUACGCGAGCUGGGUUUAGAACGUCGUGAGACAGUUCGGUCCCUAUCUGCCGUGGGCGCUGGAGAACUGAGGGGGGCUGCUCCUAGUACGAGAGGACCGGAGUGGACGCAUCACUGGUGUUCGGGUUGUCAUGCCAAUGGCACUGCCCGGUAGCUAAAUGCGGAAGAGAUAAGUGCUGAAAGCAUCUAAGCACGAAACUUGCCCCGAGAUGAGUUCUCCCUGACUCCCUGAGAGUCCUGAAGGAACGUUGAAGACGACGACGUUGAUAGGCCGGGUGUGUAAGCGCAGCGAUGCGUUGA